AUAAUGGCUCAGCAGUCAGGGGCACUUGCUGCUCUUCCAGAGGACUGGGAUCUGGUUCCCAUAACCCACAUGGUAGCUCACAACCAUCCAUAACUCCAGUUCCAGGGGAUCCGAUGCCCUUUCUGCUCUCCUUGGGCACUGUACAUAUGUGUAUAUACACACGAGCGCGCGCGCACACACACACAUACAAUAGAAUGUCCUAAUAACAAGGUUCAGGCCAGCAGAGUAUAUGGCGAGACUCUGGCUUAAAAAAAUGUUUUUUGAGUCUUUACUAAACCUCAUACACUGGCACAUGCUUGUAGUAUCAUCUCUGGGGAUACUGAGGCAGAAGGAUCUCAGGCUCCUCAUAGUCUCUAUGUUAAGAUCCUGACUCAAAAACAAACAAGCACAGUGUGGUGGCUGAUACCUAAAAUCCCAACACGUGGGACACUGGGAAGGAGGAAAGCUGGGUUUAAGGCCAGUCUUGGGCAGAGUGACACUGUCCCAAAAGUAUACACACAAAAUCCCAAACACAGAGAAGUACACUUUGAGUCUAGGUGGUGCACAGUCUGGUCAUAGAUGCAACCUUGUGUUUAGCGUUUUAAGUUUUUACUGGGGAAGCCUCUAUCACUCUUGAGCUGCCAGCUCCCUGCUGUUAUCAUUCAAUACACACUUUUUUACUGUUGGACAUCCUGGUCCCAUCAGUCACCAGCUGUAGAAGGUCCUUUGUAGAGUUAUGUUCAGUCCUGGCCCUCAGUGGGGUGCAGUCCUGCCCCCCCUCCCCAUUAAGCACUUGUGCCUGGUUAUCUCUGUAAGCUGGCAGGAACAGAAAGCAGUCCUACAGAGAGGAGAGAAUGGAAGUCAAAGCAAUAAGGCGCAGAUCCCAGGGGGCUGGAUGUGUCAGGUAGCUUACUACAGAUAGGGAGUGAGGCCAGUGGACAGAGACAAAGAAUUCACACUCCUCGCUUGGGAGCUGCAGGUCUCUGUUGGUAUAUUUG
RNAcentral lists this long non-coding RNA (977 nucleotides) under Mus musculus (house mouse). RNAcentral describes it as "long non-coding RNA chr8:13120354-13121331". Lineage: Eukaryota; Metazoa; Chordata; Mammalia; Rodentia; Muridae. The record is from RNAcentral.